This 491-nucleotide ribosomal RNA is filed under the name uncultured bacterium. RNAcentral's name for it is "partial 16S ribosomal RNA". It matches the Rfam family "Bacterial small subunit ribosomal RNA", at positions 29 to 506 of the family's 1533-position model. The record is from RNAcentral.
AGUGAACGCUGGCGGUAGGCCUAACGCAUGCAAGUCGAACGGCAGCACAGUAAGAGCUUGCUCUUACGGGUGGCGAGUGGCGGACGGGUGAGGAAUACAUCGGAAUCUACUUUUUCGUGGGGGAUAACGUAGGGAAACUUACGCUAAUACCGCAUACGACCUACGGGUGAAAGCAGGGGAUCUUCGGACCUUGCGCGAUUGAAUGAGCCGAUGUCGGAUUAGCUAGUUGGCGGGGUAAAGGCCCACCAAGGCGACGAUCCGUAGCUGGUCUGAGAGGAUGAUCAGCCACACUGGAACUGGGACACGGUCCAGACUCCUACGGGAGGCAGCAGUGGGGAAUAUUGGACAAUGGGCGCAAGCCUGAUCCAGCCAUACCGCGUGGGUGAAGAAGGCCUUCGGGUUGUAAAGCCCUUUUGUUGGGAAAGAAAAGCAGCAGGUUAAUACCCCGCUGUUCUGACGGUACCCAAAGAAUAAGCACCGGCUAACUUCGU